RNAcentral lists this ribosomal RNA (773 nucleotides) under uncultured Neocallimastigales. RNAcentral's name for it is "partial large subunit ribosomal RNA". It matches the Rfam family "Eukaryotic large subunit ribosomal RNA", at positions 22 to 637 of the family's 3401-position model. The record is from RNAcentral. Lineage: Eukaryota; Fungi; Neocallimastigomycota; Neocallimastigomycetes; Neocallimastigales.
UACACGCUGUGACUAGCAUAUCAAUAAGCGGAGGAAAAGAAACUAACAAGGAUUCCCCUAGUAACGGCGAGUGAAGCGGGAAGAGCUCAAAUUUGAAAUCUUAAAGGGUUUCCCUUUACGAAUUGUAGUUUAAAGAAGUGUUUUCUGUUGAGGUUUUGGUAAAAGUUCUUUGGAAUAGGACAUCAUAGAGGGUGAGAAUCCCGUAUUUGACCUUUACUUUCAACUUUGUGAUACACUUUCAAAGAGUCGGAUUGUUUGGGAAUGCAGUCCAAAAUGGGUGGUAAAUUUCAUCUAAAGCUAAAUAUUGGCGAGAGACCGAUAGCGAACAAGUACCGUGAGGGAAAGAUGAAAAGAACUUUGAAAAGAGAGUUAAACAGUACGUGAAAUCGUCAAAAGGGAAGCGUUUGACACCAGUGUUGUUUUUCUGAAAAUCAAUUAAAGAACUGUUUAUGCUAAGUUGUUUAGACUUUAUCAGCUAACUGUUUAGUUUUGAGCUUUUCUUUAAUGCACUUUUCAGUUAACAAGUCAACAUCAAUUUCUUUUGCUGUAAAAAAGCUUGAGGAAGGUGGCUUGAGAUUCGUCUUAAGUGUUUAUAGCCUCUUGCCUAUGCAGUCGGAGAGAUUGAGGUCUGCAGCGUAGAUCCUUCGGGGCUAAAUGCAUUUGUGCUAAGUUAUAGCAUUCCAUAGACAACUUGUUGACUAUGAUUUGUCUUGUAGCUUACUCGCUUAUGUUAUUUUACCUACGCUUAGGAUGUUGACAGCAGUAUAGACUGU